RNAcentral lists this ribosomal RNA (520 nucleotides) under uncultured Glomeromycotina. Its description in RNAcentral is "SSU rRNA". It matches the Rfam family "Eukaryotic small subunit ribosomal RNA", at positions 569 to 1090 of the family's 1831-position model. Lineage: Eukaryota; Fungi; Glomeromycota. The record is from RNAcentral.
AGCAGCCGCGGUAAUUCCAGCUCCAAUAGCGUAUAUUAAAGUUGUUGCAGUUAAAAAGCUCGUAGUUGAAUUUCGGGAUCAGUACGCUGGUCGUGCCUUUGGUAUGUACUGGUGUUACUGGUUUCUACCUUCUGAAGAACCAUCAUGUCAUUAGUUUGGUGUGGCGGGGAAUCAGGACUGUUACUUUGAAAAAAUUAGAGUGUUUAAAGCAGGCUCGCGCUUGAAUACAUUAGCAUGGAAUAAUGAAAUAGGACGUUUGAUUCUAUUUUGUUGGUUUCUAGGAUCGACGUAAUGAUUAAUAGGGAUAGUUGGGGGCAUUAGUAUUCAAUUGUCAGAGGUGAAAUUCUUGGAUUUAUUGAAGACUAACUACUGCGAAAGCAUUUGCCAAGGAUGUUUUCAUUAAUCAAGAACGAAAGUUAGGGGAUCGAAGACGAUCAGAUACCGUCGUAGUCUUAACCAUAAACUAUGCCGACUAGGGAUCGGAUGAUGUUAAUUUUUAAUGUACUCAUUCGGUCGUACC